AUCAAACAAGUAUAGGCUUACGGUGGAUGCCUAGGCACCCAGAGUCGAUGAAGGGCGUGGUAACCGACGAAAUGCUUCGAGGAGCUGGAGACAAGCACCGAUUCGGAGAUUCCCGAGAUGGGGCAACCUUUUCAAACUCCCUCUAGAAUUCAUAAUGAGGGGAGAGGCAACCCAGUGAAUUGAAACAUCUUAGUAGCUGGAGGAAAAGAAAGCAAAAGCGAUUCCCUUAGUAGCGGCGAGCGAAGGGGGAGUAGCCUAAACCGGCUGUAGUGCCGGGGUUGUGGGAGGACUGAGUAUUCUUUAUUUUCCUUUUCUUUGCCCGUUGUGAUUGUUGUUUGUUAUUUGGUAUUCAAAUCAAAGAUUUGAAAUAAUCAAUAAUCAAUAGUCAAUAGAUAGUCAAUAGAAAGAGGGAAGAGAGAAAGAUUUGUGUUUGGUUAGGCGAAGCAGCUGAAUCCUGCACCAAAGAUGGUGAAAGUCCAGUAGUUGAAAACGAAGUGCAAAUCUUGUUCACCAGCCUGAUCCCGAGUAGCAUGGGGCACGUGAAAUCCCGUGUGAAUCAGCGAGGACCACCUCGUAAGGCUAAAUACUCCUGGGUGACCGAUAGUGAAUAGUACCGCGAGGGAACGGUGAAAAAGAACCCCUGUUGGGGAGUGAAAGAGAACAUGAAACCGUAAGCUUUCGAGCAGUGGGAGGGUAGCCUGACCGCGUGCCUGUUGAAGAAUGAGCCGGCGACUUGUAGGGGGUGGCCAGGUUAAGGAAGCUUCUCCGAAGCCAUAGCGAAAGCGAGUCUUGACAGGGCGUGAAAGAGAGUCACCUCCUAUGGACCCGAACCCGGGUGAUCUAACCAUGACCAGGAGGAAGCUUGGGUAACACCAAGUGAACGUCCGAACCGACCGAUGUUGCAGAAUCGGCGGAUGAGUUGUGGUUAGGGGUGAAAUGCCAAUCGAACUCGGAGCUAGCUGGUUCUCCCCGAAAUGCGUUGAGGCGCAGCGGUUGACGAGCUCAUCUGAGCGUAGGGCGGUCUAGGGGUAAAGCACUGUAUCGGUGCGGGCUGCGAAAGCGGUACCAAAUCGUAGCAAACUCAGAAUACUAGGCCAGCUGUCCGUCAACCAGUGAGACGAUGGGGGAUAAGCUUCAUCGUCGAGAGGGAAACAGCCCAGAUCACCAGCUAAGGCCCCAGAAUGGCCGCUAAGUGGCAAAGGAGGUGAGAAUGCUAAAACACCCAGUAGGUUGGCUUAGAAGCAGCCACCCUUUAAAGAGUGCGUAAUAGCUCACUGGCAAAGCGUUCUUGCGCCGAAAAUGUACGGGACUAAGCGGUCUGCCGAAGCUGUGAGAUUAUUUCUUUUCUUUCAAAGAAAGAAUAACACGGUAGGGGAGCGUUCCGCUUGAGGGUGAAGGGGCAACGAGAGUUGCCGUGGACGGAGCGGAAGUGAGAAUGUCGGCUUGAGUAACGAAAACAUUGGUGAGAAUCCAAUGCCCCGGAAACCUAAGGGUUCCUUCAGUAGGUUCGUCCGUGGAGGGUGAGUCAGGUCCUAAGGCCAGGCCGAGAGGCGUUGUCGAUGGAAAACAGGUUAAUAUUCCUGUACUCGUUAUCGGUUAGCAGCGAGGGACGAAGGGAGCGCAUGGCCCGGUGCUGCUUUUGUUUCACAGAACAGGACGGUGCCGGUUCAGGGUGCGUCGUGGGGUGAAGAAAAACACCCCGUUUUUUUUUCUGAACAGAGUUCAGACAAUCACGAGACCCCUUCCUAGAAAAGCUCCAACUGUGUCAAUCUCCGAUGAUGACCUGUACCCGAAACCGACACAGGUAGGUUGGUAGAGAAUACCGAGGGGCGCGAGACAACUCUCUCUAAGGAACUCGGCAAACUGGCCCCGUAACUUCGGGAGAAGGGGUGGUGUCUUUCCUUUUUUAAAGCUGGAACGACUCCCGCAGUGACCAGGCCCAGGCGACUGUUUACCAAAAACACAGGUCUCCGCUAAGUCGUAAGACGAUGUAUGGGGGCUGACGCCUGCCCAGUGCCGGAAGGUGAAGGGAGUUGGUGAUUUUCACAUGAAUAAGCUGACAACCGAAGCCCCGGUGAACGGCGGCCGUAACUCUAACGGUCCUAAGGUAGCGAAAUUCCUUGCCUGGUAAGUUCAGGCCCGCACGAAAGGCGUAACGAUCUGGGCACUGUCUCGGAGAGAGGCUCGGUGAAAUAGACAUGUCCGUGAAGAUGCGGACUUCCUGCACCUGGACAGAAAGACCCUAUGAAGCUUGACUGUAGCCUGGGAUUGGGUUUGGGCUUCUCUUGCGCAGCCUAGGUGGGAGGCGUUGAUCGUCUGCUUUCGGGGAGACGGGAGCCGCUUGUGAGAGACCACCCUGGAGAGGCUAGAAUCCUAAUGGCGAUCCUUGAACCAGGACGCUUGACAGUCUCAGGUGGGCAGUUUCACUGGGGCGGUGGCCUCCUAAAAGGUAACGGAGGUGUGCAAAGGUUCCCUCAGGCUGGACGGAAAUCAGUCAUAGAGUGUAAAGGCAGAAGGGGGCUUGACUGCAAGACCUACAAGUCGAGCAGGGGCGAAAGCCGGCCUUAGUGAUCCGACGGUACCUCGUGGAAGGGCCGUCGCUCAACGGAUAAAAGUUACUCUAGGGAUAACAGGCUGAUCUUCCCCAAGAGUUCACAUCGACGGGAAGGUUUGGCACCUCGAUGUCGGCUCCUCGCAACCUGGGGCGGUAGCACGUCCCAAGGGUUGGUCUGUUCGCCCAUGAAAGCGGUACGUGAGCUGGGUUCAGAACGUCGUGAGACAGUUCGGUCCAUAUCCGGUGGAGGCGUAAGAGCAUUGAGGGGAGCUUUCCAUUGUACGAGAGGAUUUGGAAGGAUGUACCAAUGGUGUACCAGUUCUCGUAAUUCUUUGAAACGGGAGACGCUGGGUAGCUCUGUACAGAGUGGAUAACUGCUGAAAGCAUCUAAGCAGGAAGCCCACCCCAAGAUGAGUGCUCUAUGGGAUCACCGGGAGACUACCGGUUAAAAAGGUGUCCGGUGUAAGGCCAGCAAUGGUUGUUUCAAAUCUUCGAUUUGAAUAGCUGAGGCAUACUUCCAGAUCCCAGUGUUUGAU
RNAcentral lists this ribosomal RNA (3090 nucleotides) under Xylochloris irregularis. Its description in RNAcentral is "LSU rRNA". It matches the Rfam family "Bacterial large subunit ribosomal RNA". The record is from RNAcentral. Lineage: Eukaryota; Viridiplantae; Chlorophyta; Trebouxiophyceae.